RNAcentral lists this unclassified non-coding RNA (284 nucleotides) under Hevea brasiliensis (rubber tree). Lineage: Eukaryota; Viridiplantae; Streptophyta; Magnoliopsida; Malpighiales; Euphorbiaceae. The record is from RNAcentral.
CAUGGGUUGAAGAUGCUGUUAUUCGCUACUUAAAUCGAAAGCCAGCUGCAGGAAGUGAUGCUCCUGGAAGCAUGUGAGUGGGAAGUCAUCUUACUGCUGAUCUGCCAGUUUACUUGACUUCGAUUCUUUCACUUAGCAUCUGUAUAUUUGCAGCUUCGCUUUAAUGGAAGUGUGGUUAUUUCUGAUCAAUCUAAUUGUUAAGGGCCUUGGGAGGGAUACCUCCCCUUGUUUGUAAAACAACAGUUGUGGUUUUUAGCUUGUUAAGGCAGAAUUGUCCUCACACU